GGAUGAACGCUAGCGGCAGGCCUAAUACAUGCAAGACGAACGGUAAGUUGAGUAGCAAUACUUAGCCAAGAGUGUCGUACGGGUGCGUAACACGUAUGCAACCUACCCUAUACAGGAGGAUAGCCUAGGGAAACCUGGAUUAACCCUUCAUAGUAUUAUUGGAUGGCAUCAUUUGAUAAUUAAAACUGAGGUGGUAUAGGAUGGGCAUGCGUCUGAUUAGUUAGUUGGCGGGGUAAUGGCCCACCAAGACGAUGAUCAGUAGGGGUUCUGAGAGGAAGAUCCCCCACACUGGCACUGAGAUACGGGCCAGACUCCUACGGGAGGCAGCAGUAGGGAAUAUUGGUCAAUGGAUGCAAGUCUGAACCAGCCAUGCCGCGUGCAGGAAGAAGGCCUUCUGGGUUGUAAACUGCUUUUGCCAGGGGAUAAAAUUUCCAUGCGUGGGAAACUGAAGGUACCUGGUGAAUAAGCCACGGCUAACUACGUG
Molecule: ribosomal RNA, 484 nt
Filed under: uncultured bacterium
Lineage: Bacteria
Description: bacterial SSU rRNA
Rfam family: Bacterial small subunit ribosomal RNA
Source: RNAcentral